RNAcentral lists this ribosomal RNA (711 nucleotides) under Bacillus mojavensis. RNAcentral's name for it is "bacterial SSU rRNA". It matches the Rfam family "Bacterial small subunit ribosomal RNA", at positions 54 to 747 of the family's 1533-position model. The record is from RNAcentral. Lineage: Bacteria; Bacillati; Bacillota; Bacilli; Caryophanales; Bacillaceae.
AAUGCAAGUCGAGCGGACAGAUGGGAGCUUGCUCCCUGAUGUUAGCGGCGGACGGGUGAGUAACACGUGGGUAACCUGCCUGUAAGACUGGGAUAACUCCGGGAAACCGGGGCUAAUACCGGAUGCUUGUUUGAACCGCAUGGUUCAAACAUAAAAGGUGGCUUCGGCUACCACUUACAGAUGGACCCGCGGCGCAUUAGCUAGUUGGUGAGGUAACGGCUCACCAAGGCAACGAUGCGUAGCCGACCUGAGAGGGUGAUCGGCCACACUGGGACUGAGACACGGCCCAGACUCCUACGGGAGGCAGCAGUAGGGAAUCUUCCGCAAUGGACGAAAGUCUGACGGAGCAACGCCGCGUGAGUGAUGAAGGUUUUCGGAUCGUAAAGCUCUGUUGUUAGGGAAGAACAAGUACCGUUCAAAUAGGGCGGUACCUUGACGGUACCUAACCAGAAAGCCACGGCUAACUACGUGCCAGCAGCCGCGGUAAUACGUAGGUGGCAAGCGUUGUCCGGAAUUAUUGGGCGUAAAGGGCUCGCAGGCGGUUCCUUAAGUCUGAUGUGAAAGCCCCCGGCUCAACCGGGGAGGGUCAUUGGAAACUGGGGAACUUGAGUGCAGAAGAGGAGAGUGGAAUUCCACGUGUAGCGGUGAAAUGCGUAGAGAUGUGGAGGAACACCAGUGGCGAAGGCGACUCUCUGGUCUGUAACUGACGCU